GUUCUUAUAGCUUAUGUAGAGCGGGGCACUGAAAAUGCUUAGGAUAUAUUUAAGGA
This 56-nucleotide transfer RNA is filed under the name Linguatula serrata. Its description in RNAcentral is "tRNA-Phe". Lineage: Eukaryota; Metazoa; Arthropoda; Ichthyostraca; Porocephalida; Linguatulidae. The record is from RNAcentral.